RNAcentral lists this signal recognition particle RNA (103 nucleotides) under Opitutus terrae PB90-1. RNAcentral describes it as "ffs". It matches the Rfam family "Bacterial small signal recognition particle RNA". Rfam says of the family: The signal recognition particle (SRP) is a universally conserved ribonucleoprotein involved in the co-translational targeting of proteins to membranes. Archaeal SRP consists of a 7S RNA and homologues of the eukaryotic SRP19 and SRP54 proteins. In most bacteria, the SRP consists of a 4.5S RNA and the Ffh protein (a homologue of the eukaryotic SRP54 protein). The record is from RNAcentral. Lineage: Bacteria; Pseudomonadati; Verrucomicrobiota; Opitutia; Opitutales; Opitutaceae.
GGCCAGGUGCCAUGCAUGGGCAGACGCGUGAACUCCGCCAGGACCGGAAGGUAGCAACGGCAACGACGUUCUCCCAGUGCCGUGGAGUGCCUGGCCACUUUUU